AACAUAUUCAAGCUUCUUUAAUCUUUUUGCUUGGUCUUGAGGGAUGAGCAAGACGAAAUUGAACUUUUUUAAAUUCUUGUUCUAUCUUGCUCACCCAUCGAAUUUCAGUGGCGGAUUUAACCAUAGUUGGCCCGGUGUGAUACGUUUUUCAUGUCACUGGUCCAGCUUGUGGCAACCUCCUGUCAAUAGAAACUCCCCUCGAAUAUUAUUAUU
RNAcentral lists this unclassified non-coding RNA (213 nucleotides) under uncultured Rhodoscypha. RNAcentral describes it as "sequence contains ITS2". Lineage: Eukaryota; Fungi; Ascomycota; Pezizomycetes; Pezizales; Pyronemataceae. The record is from RNAcentral.